RNAcentral lists this ribosomal RNA (460 nucleotides) under uncultured bacterium. Its description in RNAcentral is "partial 16S ribosomal RNA". It matches the Rfam family "Bacterial small subunit ribosomal RNA", at positions 338 to 795 of the family's 1533-position model. The record is from RNAcentral.
CCUACGGGAGGCAGCAGGGAGGAAUAGUGGUCAAUGGACGAGAGUCGGAACCAGCCAAGUAGCGUGAAGGAUGACGGCCCUAUGGGGUGUAAACUUCUUUUAUAUGGGAAUAAAAUGUUCCACGUGUGGGAGUUUGUAUGUACCAUAUGAAUAAGGAUCGGCUAACUCCGUGCCAGCAGCCGCGGUAAUACGGAGGAUCCGAGCGUUAUCCGGUUUUAUUGGGUUUAAAGGGAGCGUAGGUGGAUUGUUAAGUCAGUUGUGAAAGUUUGCGGCUCAACCGUAAAAUUGCAGUUGAAACUGGCAGUCUUGAGUACAGUAGAGGUGGGCGGAAUUCGUGGUGUAGCGGUGAAAUGCUUAGAUAUCACGAAGAACUCCGAUUGCGAAGGCAGUUCACUGGACUGCAACUGACACUGAGGCUCGAAAGUGUGGGUAUCAAACAGGAUUAGCUACCCGUGUAGUC